GAUCAUGGCUCAGAACGAACGCUGGCGGCGCGUCUUAAGCAUGCAAGUCGAACGGCAAGAGGUAGCAAUACCUCCUAGAGUGGCGGACUGGUGAGUAACACGUGGGUGACAUACCCUUCAGAUGGGGAUAGCUAUUAGAAAUAGUAGAUAAUACCGAAUACGAGCACAGGGGUUAGAGAUCUGUGAGGAAAGGAGCUAAGGCUCCGCUGAAGGAAUGGCCUGCGGCCCAUUAGCUAGUUGGUGAGGUAAGAGCCCACCAAGGCGAUGAUGGGUAUCCGGCCUUAGAGGGUGAACGGACACAUUGGGACUGAGAUACGGCCCAGACUCCUACGGGAGGCAGCAGCUAAGAAUAUUCCGCAAUGGACGAAAGUCUGACGGAGCGACGCCGCGUGGAUGAAGAAGGCCGGAAGGUUGUAAAAUCCUUUUGAAACUGAAGAAUAAGCGUUGUAGGGAAUGACAGCGUGGUGACAGUAGGUUUUGAAUAAGCAACGGCUAAUUACGUGCCAGCAGCCGC
RNAcentral lists this ribosomal RNA (514 nucleotides) under uncultured bacterium. RNAcentral's name for it is "bacterial SSU rRNA". It matches the Rfam family "Bacterial small subunit ribosomal RNA", at positions 15 to 518 of the family's 1533-position model. The record is from RNAcentral.